CAUCAUCAUUAUGAUCAACCUCAUUUGAUAAAUCAUCUUGUACCAAUAAAUUUAAUCUAGUUGGUACAUGACGUUCUCGUGUAGACCUUCGAAGAGGUGCUUGUACAACCUGUUCACCUUGUGUUGGAUUUCGUUGUUGCUCAAUUUGGUUUGGAACCGGUUCAUUAACCUGUUCUUGAACUUCAUUUAGUUCUUGAACUU
Molecule: long non-coding RNA, 201 nt
Filed under: Nicotiana benthamiana
Lineage: Eukaryota; Viridiplantae; Streptophyta; Magnoliopsida; Solanales; Solanaceae
Description: long non-coding RNA (NBEN_LNC006129)
Source: RNAcentral